GAUGAAGAACGUAGCGAAAUGCGAUAAGUAAUGUGAAUUGCAGAAUUCAGUGAAUCAUCGAAUCUUUGAACGCACAUUGCGCCCCUUGGUAUUCCGAGGGGCAUGCCUGUUCGAGCGUCAUUAUAACCCCUCAAGCUCAGCUUGGUGUUGGGGCCUGCCGCACGGGCAGCCCUUAAAAUCAGUGGCGGUGCCAUCUGGCUCUAAGCGUAGUAAUUCUUCUCGCUCUGGAGGUCCGGUCGUGUGCUCGCCAGCAACCCCCAAUUUUUUUCAGGUUGACCUCGGAUCAGGUAGGGAUACCCGCUGAACUUAAGCAUAUCAAUAAGCGGAGGA
Molecule: unclassified non-coding RNA, 330 nt
Filed under: soil metagenome
Description: partial contains 5.8S ribosomal RNA, internal transcribed spacer 2, and large subunit ribosomal RNA
Rfam family: 5.8S ribosomal RNA (bases 1-120)
Source: RNAcentral